CCUACGGGCGGCAGCAGUGAGGAAUAUUGGUCAAUGGACGAGAGUCUGAACCAGCCAAGUCGCGUGAAGGAUGACUGCCCUCUGGGUUGUAAACUUCUUUUAUAUGGGAAUAAAACCUUUCACGUGUGAGCUUCUGUAUUUACCUUAUGAAUAAGGAUCGGCUAACUCCGUGCCAGCAGCCGCGGUACUACGGAGGAUCCGAGCGUUAUCCGGAUUUAUUGGGUUUAAAGGGAGCGUAGGUGGGUUGUUAAGUCAGUUGUGAAAUUUCGGGGCUCAACCGUAAAAUUGCAGUUGAAACUGGCAGGCUUGAGUAGAGUAGAGGGGGGCGGAAUUCGAGGUGUAGCGGUGAAAUGCUUAGAUAUCACGAAGAACUCCGAUUGAGAAGGCAGUACACUGGAC
RNAcentral lists this ribosomal RNA (399 nucleotides) under uncultured bacterium. RNAcentral's name for it is "partial 16S ribosomal RNA". It matches the Rfam family "Bacterial small subunit ribosomal RNA", at positions 338 to 734 of the family's 1533-position model. The record is from RNAcentral.